RNAcentral lists this unclassified non-coding RNA (200 nucleotides) under Hevea brasiliensis (rubber tree). The record is from RNAcentral. Lineage: Eukaryota; Viridiplantae; Streptophyta; Magnoliopsida; Malpighiales; Euphorbiaceae.
GCGCCUUCGGUGUUGUUGAGCGCGCCGCGAUAGGCCUUGCCGAUCGGUGUGCGGGCGGUGGAAACGAUAACGGCUUCGGUCAUGAACGACCUCCUGUUGCAAGUUUUGGUUGUUGAGAUUGGUUGCGUUGCUGNNNNNNCGAGAGAGUUUUCCGACGCUGGUGCGCGGCAGUUCCUUCAUGAACUCGACCGCGACCGGUA